Molecule: ribosomal RNA, 481 nt
Filed under: uncultured bacterium
Lineage: Bacteria
Description: bacterial SSU rRNA
Rfam family: Bacterial small subunit ribosomal RNA
Source: RNAcentral
UGGCUAACUCCUACGGGAGGCAGCAGUGGGGAAUAUUGCACAAUGGGCGCAAGCCUGAUGCAGCCAUGCCGCGUGUAUGAAGAAGGCCUUCGGGUUGUAAAGUACUUUCAGCGAGGAGGAAGGCAGUCGUGUUAAUAGCACGAUUGAUUGACGUUACUCGCAGAAGAAGCACCGGUUAACUCCGUGCCAGCAGCCGCGGUAAUACGGAGGGUGCAAGCGUUAAUCGGAAUUACUGGGCGUAAAGCGCACGCAGGCGGUCUGUCAAGUCGGAUGUGAAAUCCCCGGGCUCAACCCGGGAACUGCAUUCGAAACUGGCAGGCUAGAGUCUUGUAGAGGGGGGUAGAAUUCCAGGUGUAGCGGUGAAAUGCGUAGAGAUCUGGAGGAAUACCGGUGGCGAAGGCGGCCCCCUGGACAAAGACUGACGCUCAGGUGCGAAAGCGUGGGGAGCAAACAGGAUUAGAAACCCUUGUAGUCCAGCUGG